AGCCUAUGCCACAGCCACAGCAAUGCCAGAUCCAAGCUGCAUCUGUGACCUAUGCUGCAGCUUACAGCAACGCUGGAUCCUUUACCUACUGAGUGUGGCCAGGUAUCGAACCCGAAACCUCAUGGACACUGUGUUGGGUUCCUAGCCCGCUGAGUCACAAUGGGAACGCCAUGUGUCGCUAUUUUCAACUGAUUCUUUCUACUAGUACAUAUUCUAACCAGCUAUUUUAUGGAGGCUAUUGAUUUUUGCACACUAAUUUCAUAUGCCGGUACUUCACUGAAUUUUGUUUAUAGUAAUUGUUCAGGUAUUAGUUUUUGAGCCAAGAUUGAUAUUCUUUAUCAUGUUAGAAAAAUAUCCAUGCAUUCUGAUUUUGAGUGUGUACUUUUCAAAAUCAAGAAUGACUGUUGAAUUUUGACACAUUUUCAUUUCAAGAUCCAUGGAGAUGAUCAAUCAUAUGACUGUUUUACCUUUCUCUAAGUAUAAUGACUUUUAUCAAUACAUUCCUUUAUAUUGUUCCCAUAAAUCUCAACUCAUCAUAAAAGGAUUAAUAUUUCACUAGGUGGUUCCUUCCUGUUUAGUCAUAUUUUAUUAAGAUUUUCUUAAUGGUGUCCAGAAGUAAGAUUGGGGGCAACAAUAGUUUAGGUGUGCACCUGAGGAUGAGCCCUGAAGAACAGGUAUCUUUGUGGUGUCUUCUGAGAUCUGCUGCCACUCAAUCCUUCCCCAAAAUACCUCUGUCCUCUUUCUCUUCCUCCCAGGCAACUCUGGCUUCCUUUCAGCUUUGACCUUCCUUACAAAUACUUAUGAAGUCUAUGGAGUUAAGAGAAUGUCAAGGAAAAAGAGAAUAACUAGUUUUUUUCUUUCUUCUUCUUGUUUGUGUUAUUUUUGAGAGAAGAAGAAAAGUGUCUCAUACAGCCACCUUCAAAACAAAUACCUUCAAGGUUUAUGUUCUACAUUUAGAACAAAUGUAGUCUAUUUUUAUGUUUCACUAUCACAGUUAGAUGUGGAAUCACUACUGUUAUUUGUAUAUUUGUUUAACUCUUCUAUUCUAGAAGGCCCUUAGUGUCCAUCUGUACAUAGCAGUGCCUAUACCCACCACAAUUUUCAAAUCUAACGAUUUUUUUGUUUUUUAAAAGUAUGCCCCUGGCAAUCUAUGUUGAGUUAUACAGUAAUGCAUGUGAAUAUCUUCACCAAAAAUAUUUGGACAAUAUAGAAAUCUAUAAAACAAAAAUUGAAGUUCCCUUUUUAUCUUUUUUUUUUUUUUUUGUCUUUUUUUAGGGCCACACCCACAGCACAUGGAGGUCCCCAGGCUAGGGGUCCAAUUGGAGAUGUAGCUGGCCUAUGCCACAGCCACAGAAACACCAGAUCUGAGCCGCGUCUGCAACCUACACCACGGCUCACAGCAACGCCAGAUCCUUAACCCCCUGAGGAGGGCCAGGGAUCGAACCGGCAUCCUCAUGGAUCCAGUCAGACUCGUUUCCAUUGGUGCCACAAUGGGAAAUCCCCUUUCUUAUCUUAUCUGCCAUGUAUACACUCCUCUCCAGAGCCAAUAUUAUUAAAAAUACGUUGUGUACCUUUUUGAAGCUCUACUCUUUGGCACUUUUCUUUUUUGGCCACACCCAUGGAAUGCGGAAGUUCUUGGGCCUGGGAUUAACCCCCUGCCCUAGAAGUGGCCUAAGCCACAGCAAUGACAGAUACUUAGCUUACUGAGGCACCAAGGAACUCUAACUUCCGAACUUCUACACUUUUGUAUUAUGUAUAAUUUUUUAACAAAUCUAAGAUCCAAGGAAUGUGUACAUUGUUGUGUACAUCUGCAUGUCUGAGGUAUAGAUGCCCACGAGUGGCAUUAUCGGGGCAAAAGAUACACACAUUUAAAAUCUAUCUCAUUGCUAUCCAGAAGAGCUAUAAUAAGCUUCCUAUCAUGAAAAGAACAAUUUUCCACAUCCUUGUCAUAACUGGGUAUUAUAAAUUUGUUAAUUUUUUGUCAUUUUUAUUUUAGUUUGCAUUUCCCCAUCAUUACUGAAGUUGAACACAUUUUUUUCAUGUCUCUUGACCAUUUAUAUUUCUUUUCUAGAUAACCUUUCAUAUCUUUUGUCCAUUUUUCAAAUUUUGAUUGAUUUGUUGGAGCUCUUUAAAUAUACCAGAGAAAAAUUAUUUGUUUCCUAUGUUACAAAUAAUUCCUCCCAGUCCAUCACUCAAGUUUUCACCUUAAAUUCAUGUAACAGAAGGUUUUCAUUUUUACAUCAUUUUAUACUUGGACUUUUGGGUUUAGCAUGUUUAUUUGUUUAUUGUUUAAUUAAGAGAACCAAAGAACCCCACAAUUAUUUCUGGUAAAUGCUUCUGCCAAGAGUCUCUGCAUCCAGCCUUGCUUUCUUGGCUUUGGGGAUUAAGGAAAAUGAAACAAAACCUUAAUACCCCUGAAUCCCCAAGGUGGUGAGAGCAUUAUUACCCACAAGUCCUUUGUUAUUACUCAAAAUCUUGUCCAAGGGCUGGAAACCCUCACUCAUGCACAUUUUCCCCUUCAGUAGAGUUAUCAAAGUUGAGUUCUCCUUUGCUGACUAAAGGCUGUGGGGGCCAUUAUGCAGGUUAUAUACUUGCAGUGUCCAAAGUUAGGGAGAACUGAAAAUGGGAACUAGCCCUGACACAUUCUAGGAGACACUUAGGAUUUCCUUUUCUUUCCUUUUCUUUUUUCUUUCUUUUUCAUCUUCAAAAAUCAUCAUCACAAAACUGUGUUUUGGGAUGGAAAAUAGCAUUUCAUUAUUACUGAAGAUGUUAAAUAAAUUACAACCACAUUGAGUUAAUACAAGUUUUCCUUUCAUUUUUGUUUUCCACUUACAUAUCUUUCUCUAUUGGUUUUUCAAGCUUCUUUUACCAAAAAGCAUGCUGUUUUCAACUUGUGUUUUCCAAUCCUGUCUUCCAAGAACUGGGCGAUUUUUCAGUAUAUGCCUUGGAGACUUGACUCAAUUAUUAUGCCCUUCCCAUUGGUCAAGGUCUAAACUGACACAAAGGGCUUACAUCAUGCUAAUAUGACAGCUCAUUGCCUGCUCUCCUUUGUGGAGGAU
Molecule: long non-coding RNA, 3059 nt
Filed under: Sus scrofa (pig)
Lineage: Eukaryota; Metazoa; Chordata; Mammalia; Artiodactyla; Suidae
Description: lncRNA (ENSSSCG00025023016.1)
Source: RNAcentral